This 255-nucleotide ribosomal RNA is filed under the name uncultured bacterium. Its description in RNAcentral is "partial 16S ribosomal RNA". It matches the Rfam family "Bacterial small subunit ribosomal RNA", at positions 524 to 777 of the family's 1533-position model. The record is from RNAcentral.
UACGUAGGUGGCAAGCGUUGUCCGGAUUUACUGGGCGUAAAGGGCGUGCAGGCGGUUUGUUAAGUGCAGAGUGAAAGCUCCCGGCUCAACUGGGAGAGGUCUUUGCAUACUGGCAAACUCGAGGGAGGCAGAGGAAAGUGGAAUUCCCGGUGUAGUGGUGAUAUGCGUAGAUAUCGGGAGGAACACCUGUGGCGAAGGCGGCUUUCUGGGCCUUACCUGGACGCUGAGACGCGAAAGCGUGGGGAGCGAACCGGG